RNAcentral lists this long non-coding RNA (684 nucleotides) under Zonotrichia albicollis (white-throated sparrow). RNAcentral's name for it is "lncRNA (ENSZALG00000003587.1)". The record is from RNAcentral. Lineage: Eukaryota; Metazoa; Chordata; Aves; Passeriformes; Passerellidae.
CCAGGCAAACUGAGGUCUGUGCCAGCACUCCUGAACAAUUAAACAUGGAAACUUGCUGUGCACACUGGCAGCGAGAGCCUCGUUCAGCCAAGACAAGGAGCCACAAAAUGAAGACAGAGCCACAUUCUCCUGGAAAAUGGCUUUUUCUAACUCACACGCAUGGGAUAGAGAGGGGACAGGUCAUUUUGGCCGAACUGUGGAGUUAAGAGUUUGCUACUGUUUCGAAGAAGGAAAUAUGGGGCAUAAUGUCACAAUCAGAUAUGGCUGUGCAUGUAUUACAUUACAAAGGGAAGACACUCAUCUAAUUUAACUACAAGCAAUUACAUGUGAACUGAAAGCUGUAUAAGAAGGCAAGUCUCUCAUCUGAACGCUGUUUUAACCUCCUCCAACAACCUGGCUGUCACAAUGGAAUGAAGCAAGAAAACCAUCUUUCCUGCACAUAAGUUGAAGAGGCACCUAUGCUGGUGCAAAACCUGUGCCAUAAACAAAAUCCCUGACUCUGGUACAGCGCCUGUUGUUUAAACAGAGGGCUGACUACACCACUGCUCCUGCUGCUCCUCACGCCGCCUCAAGCUGUAUUUCUCUGAGGAAGACCGACUGAAAGCUGGGAGCAGACUCCAGUGUGCUCCUGUGCCUAUUAAGAGUCAGUCAAAUUUAAUAAACCAAUAAAACCAGUGGAAAACA